Molecule: long non-coding RNA, 3946 nt
Organism: Equus caballus (horse)
Lineage: Eukaryota; Metazoa; Chordata; Mammalia; Perissodactyla; Equidae
Source: Ensembl
CACCGGCCACGGUCAAAGGCAGCGUCCCUGCUGAUUUCCAGCCACAAGGAGAGAGGCACCUGGACAAAGCAACAGGAUGUGUCUUGAAAACUGUAGCAACUGACCUUUAAAACUCCAGAGGCGAACCGUGCCUAUCUCGAAAUGUUGAGGUCCUCAUGCUCAAACGAUUGUUUCACCGGCCCCAUGGAAAGCCAACAUCAGCAUCCGUGUGCACGCUGGCUUCACCGGCUUGGCUGUUCCAUGGGGAAAUGCACAUCACAAUUACGCGGUUCACCGGCCCCGUGGAAAGACAACAUCAACAUCCGUGUACCCGCUGGCUUUCCCUGGCUCGGCCAUUCUGUGGGGCAGUGAAGCUGGUCGCUGGCUCGAAGCCCCCGGUGUUGGCCACCAGACAGCAGGGCCAGGCACUCCCAAGGGUCAGCUCACCCACCACCAGCUUUCCGGAGGCUGGAGACAGCAGGAGCUUUCUCUUCAGCAAUCCGCAGGCUUCCAUCUGCUCUCUGUCUGGUUUUGGGGAAGGGGAGGUGGUAGGUACCGUAGACACAGUCAGAGAAUUGGACGGUGACCGAGCUGUAACCCUCAGUGACGCCUCACCUUGAGCUCUGCUCCAGCCCCCGCAGGGGAGCAGCCUUCUAGACACUGCUGUUCAGUUCCGGGAGGAUUUUUAGGUCCUCUCUUCGUCCUUUGCCUCAGUCAAGGCAGAGACUCGCUUCUAGACCUCCUGACUACUGUCUUCUAACGACUUCGCUGACGUGUGCUUUACAUUCCAGAAGUCUUGUCCAUGCUAAGUAGUCCUGAACUGGUUGUUUUCUGGCAGCUUGCCAUUGCUUUCUGGGAAGAGGAUUUGCUGAAUUCCUCACGCUGCCGGAGGGAUGUCCUGACACCCGCCCUGAUCACAUUUGAAGGCACAUGGUUUCUGCAAUCUGAGGACCCAGCACUGUGAGUCUGUGGCCCAGAGGGAUUUUGAGAAGACCGGAUUGGAAGGCAGAGCACAACGGCUUGUUUCCAGAAAGUUGCUGUGGAUCCUCAGCCUCCUCCUAUUUUUGAAUCAAAGUCCUGAGAUCUUUAAAAUGCCAGCAACGUGACAAGGUGGGCCAAAAAAGCAAAUGUCUCUGGAUAUCCAACAGCAGUUAGAAUAUUCUGAAUUUCUUCUAAGGUGAGAUGAGUGGAAGGGAUUAGGCACAUGGGGUUGGCGGAGUGGUCUUGGGCCAGACCUUGUAUUUGGAGGGAGAAAGGCCCCACUGUCCAACCUUCCUCUGGGCUGAGGGUGGGACGUGUGUGAAGAGCCCAGCAUGGCAGAGGGAAGCAGCCCGCUUGCUGUGCCCAGGGUUUCCUGCUUCCAAAACUCCCUGUGCGUCCGCUUCAGAGCUGCCUCGAGGGCAGAGGCUCUGGGCUGGGACUACAGCGGCAUCACUCUCUGCUUGAGCAUCUGUGGAGCUGUCUCUUCCUCUCUUUGAGCUUCACAUUCCCCGUUUACAAGACAGGGACCCACAGUGGUGGCCGCCCCCUCCUAGGCAGGACGGGAUGGGGCUGCACAGGCGCAGAGCAGGCUGCAAGCAGCAGGGGAGCUGUGGCUUUGAGAAGAGCCCACAGCGGGGAGGCAAAGAGCUGCGAAGGGUCUCGGCAUCGGAUUUGGGAAACCUGGGAUGGCGACGCUGCCGAUGCCACGCUCGUGUCCCCUCAGCCCCCCGAGUCCACCUGCAGGCAGUUCCCAGCAGGCCAACAGCGUCCCCCUGGAGCACCUGCGUCCUUCCUCCCCAGCUGAGGGCUCUCUCCUGUGCUGCAAGCGCUUCCUCUCCUGCAAGCUGGUGCCAGCCAGCAGUGCAGAAGCAUCAAUGGCCCGGGGUGACCCUCCACCCGUGGGGACAGGGCCAGUCCGGUGGGACCUGGUCUCCCAGCAGGAUUGAGCCCCAUGCCCACUGCAGUGCUGGCUCAUCAAGGCCACGCACCAGCGUCUCUCCUCCAGGCUCCGUUCCCCACAUCCUCCCUGCGGCUCCCCGGAUCAUCUGCAAACACAAGACCUGCCUCUGAGUCCUCAUCUGCUCUGGGGACCCCCCUCUGCGGAGGCCCCGCACUGGCUGUGACUCUGAGCAGGUCGUCCAGCCUCCUGGACCUGAGCUCCUCACCUGCGAGAUGGCAAAGGCCUGCCCCGUAGCAUCAUCAGAGGAGACACAGCGUGUGACGAUGCAAAUCACCUCAGAGAGAGGCCAAGUGGUGGCCACGUGAACACAUCGACCCCACAAAGGAAACAGGAGCUCAUGAGGCGGGGUGGGGGGGACCCGGGCUGCCUGUCCAAACGGCAUGGGAAGUCCCUGACGAGGGCGGCCCUGGAGAGUGGGCCCCCACAGUCGAAGAAGAGGCCUUAGACAGGGAAGGUGAGGGGAUAGGGGCUUCCAAGGAGAGAGGUUGCAGUGCUGGAGGAUCAAAGAGGCCUUAGGAAGAUUGUGAGGCCCUGGAAGAUGCCUGCUGAAAUGCUUGUGUAGGUCAGAAAACCGUGUCACCAAUACCCAGUCAACACGGGAUUCAUUUUUUGUGGUUCCAAGAAUCGGCACAUACUUGUGAUUAUAACCCACAUAUUGGAUAUGUAUUGGGAUAUAUUUAUUUUUCAUAACUUUUGAUUAUUUUAUGUUUCUAGACAAAGCGCCACGCACACAUUUUCUCCGUUCUUUCUUUGCAAUACUGGGCUCUGUUUUUAAGGAGCAGAUUCCUGGCGCUCCUCACCUGUGCUAGCCCCAGGGACCGCCGCCUUUCGUGUCACACAGUGGACGUGAGCUCCACGCAGGCAGGGACCAUGGCGGGUCACGCUCGCUGAUGAAGCUACGGGGCUGGCAGAAUGAGUGAGGCUGAGCCUCCCUCUCCUGUGACCUGCUGUCAUCCUGGAUCUUCUUCAGCUCCUCAGAUAGCAGUGAAUAUUCCUGGGAGCAGGGCAGCAGGAGGGCGCCUGAGUGCCGGGACCCUGUUUUCUGGAGGACCGCCGUGACAGCCUGGCAGGGCACAGAAGGGCAGAUCUCUAAGCCUCAGGGUCCUGUUGGUGAGAUGAGGACAGCACCGGCCCCCCCGUGGUCUGUUGGAGGAGUCAGUGAUAACUUGCAUGGGGAGCAGAGGCCUGGCCAAAGGUGGAGGUGCCCAGUGACGGGGCUCCUUCCCCCGAUGGGCGGCCAAGCUGAGCUUCCCUGCGCUCCUGGGACGCACCCUCCCCACCUCGUCUCUCCGCUCCCCAGAUAGAGGGUACCUCAGCUCCCAGGGGCCACCUGCGCAGGGCGGUUUGGUGAUGUGAUGGGCGGUGUCGUUGGUGAGGAUGGUGACUUUGUGGGUUUGAUCCCGGGGCUCCGAGUGUCAUCUCAGUGACCUCGUCUUCAUGCCUCCACGUAAGGUCAGCUGCUGCCCCCAUUUCACAGGCUCAAAGCGGACACGGAGACCUUGGCUGUCAGAGACCGCGACAUACACCGUAGCAUCGUGUUUAUGUUGUGACCCAGAACCUUCCCUCUUGGGACCUGUGCUAAAGAAAUAAAGGUUUAUGGACGCAGACGUUGCCUUCAGCAGGACGAUGGGAGUGAGAAGCUGGAAGGGCCUGCGUCCCACAGAGGGACUCUUGGGAAAUUCUGACAGGGACACAGAAGAAGAAGAGGAUUGACUGACAGUGUCGCCCCUGGGGAAGUCAGGUUCCAGAAGAGCACACGCCCUGGAAUCCUCCUUACCUGAUACCCACCCCUGCACAUGCACACAUGGGCACACUGGCGUAUACAUGUGCACACACGCACGCACACACGUGAACAGGCAUCAGACCCACAUAUGCUCAUGCACACAGGGCACAGGCAGACACACACUCACUUGCACAUGUACACACUUGCACAUGCACACACGUGCACACAAAGGGAAAGGACUGGAAUGGUGAACACCGCCUGUUAAGGGCACUCCUGAGUUUCCACUUAAUUCUUAAUUCCUG